GUCAGGUGUGGCCAUGCAUGCCUGUAAUCCCAGCUACUCAGGAGGCUGAGGCAGGAGGAUGGCAAGUUCAAGGCCUGCCUCAGCAACUUAGUGAGACCCUGUCUCAG
This 107-nucleotide small RNA is filed under the name Marmota monax (woodchuck). The record is from RNAcentral. Lineage: Eukaryota; Metazoa; Chordata; Mammalia; Rodentia; Sciuridae.